CACGAUAUGAAGGACGGAGUCGAGUGGGUUCGGCCCUCGGCGAACUGCUCAGUAACACGUGGAUAAUCUAACCUUAGGUGGAGCAUAACCUCGGGAAACUGAGAAUAAUACUCCAUAGAUCUUUGAGGCUGGAAUGCGCUUAGAUUGAAAGCUUCGGCGCCUAAGGAUGAGUCUGCGGACUAUCAGGUAGUAGUCAGGGUAAAGACCUGACUAGCCUACGACGGAUACGGGUUGUGAGAGCAAUAACCCGGAGAUGAUAUCUGAGACACGAUAUCAGGCCCUACGGGGCGCAGCAGGCGCGAAAACUUCACAAUGCGCGAAAGCGCGAUGAGGGGAUCCCAAGUGCUUGCACGUAAGUGUAAGCUGUUUUUCUGUCUAAAAAGCAGAGAGAGUAAGGGCUGGGUAAGACGGGUGCCAGCCGCCGCGGUAAUACCUGCAGCUCAAGUGGUGGCCGCUAUUAUUGGGCCUAGAACGUCCGUAGCCGGCUGAGUAAAUGCCUGGGUAAAUCGUGUGGCUUAACCAUACGAAUUCCGGGUAGACUGCUCAGCUUGGGACCGGAAGAAGUUAGAGGUACUCCUGGGGUAGGGGUGAAAUCCUGUAAUCCUGGGGGGGACCACCAGUGGCGAAGGCGUCUAACUAGGACGGGUCUGACGGUGAGGGACGAAGCCCCUGGGGCGCAAACCGGAUUAGAUACCCGGGUAGUCCAGGGUGUAAACGCUGCUUGCUUGAUGUUAGCUGGGCUCCGAGCUCGGCUAGUGUCGGAGAGAAGUUGUUAAGCAAGCUGCCUGGGAAGUACGGUCGCAAGACUGAAACUUAAAG
This 819-nucleotide ribosomal RNA is filed under the name uncultured archaeon. RNAcentral's name for it is "bacterial SSU rRNA". It matches the Rfam family "Archaeal small subunit ribosomal RNA", at positions 45 to 861 of the family's 1478-position model. The record is from RNAcentral.